This 712-nucleotide small RNA is filed under the name Histoplasma capsulatum. RNAcentral's name for it is "hypothetical RNA". RNAcentral also lists the same sequence under 1 other name. The record is from RNAcentral. Lineage: Eukaryota; Fungi; Ascomycota; Eurotiomycetes; Onygenales; Ajellomycetaceae.
CCUAUCUACCACUGCCAAUCUACCUACCACUGCUAAUCUAUGCCGCUGCCAACCUAUCUAUCGCUGCUAAUCUAUCGCUGCUGCCAACCUAUCUACCGCUGCCAACCUACCUAUCGCUGCCAAUCUAUCUACCACUGCUAAUCUAUCGCUGCUAAUCUAUCGCUGCUAAUCUAUUGCUGCUAAUCUAUCUAUCACUGCUAAUCUAUCGCUGCCAACCUACCUACCGCUGCCAACCUAUCUACCACUGCCAAUCUACCUACCGCUGCCAACCUACCUACCACUGCUAAUCUAUCACUGCUAAUCUAUCGCUGCUAAUCUAUUGCUGCUAAUCUAUCGCUGCUAAUCUAUUGCUGCUAAUCUAUCUAUCACUGCUAAUCUAUCGCUGCCAACCUACCUACCGCUGCCAACCUACCUACCGCUGCCAACCUACCUACCACUGCUAAUCUAUCACUGCUAAUCUAUCGCUGCCAACCUAUAUAGGGUAAAUCAUGGUCCCAUUUGGUCCCAUUUUGUAAAAUGGGACCAAAUGGGACUGGGACCACUAAUUUAUUAGUAAAACAUGAUCUGGGACUAGAUUUAUAAUAUAAACAGUGUAAAGUGACUAAUUUACUAAACACUAUAUGGGACCAGGACUAAGAUAUCUAAUAAUGGGACUGAGGAAAAAUUUGGUCCCAGUCCCAUGCAUGGUCACACAGCCAGUCUAUCAGUGCUC